RNAcentral lists this long non-coding RNA (317 nucleotides) under Solanum tuberosum (potato). Its description in RNAcentral is "long non-coding RNA (STUB_LNC008135)". The record is from RNAcentral. Lineage: Eukaryota; Viridiplantae; Streptophyta; Magnoliopsida; Solanales; Solanaceae.
GCCUGACAUGUAUAGAUGUGAUCACAACUGAAGAAUUUGGGAGAUACUACACCACGAAAGUUGAGUUGCAAUUGUAGUACAUAAGGGUUAGACUUAGGACAAGUAUGUUGCAAUCAUAGUAUUAUGGCAGUGAUUGCAACCUUGUUAGGCUUGGAUUCCAGUAGAUACUGCUAGGAGAACACACGUCGUUGUGAUCUUAGCACUUGUUAGGUUAGGGAGGGUCUUGGACUCCAUGUUUGGCUAUGAUCGCAUCAAGUGUGCUGAGAUUGUAGAUCUACUAUGCCCAAAUCUCUACACUUGCUGCCUCAGUAUCCUUC